Molecule: small RNA, 181 nt
Filed under: Virgibacillus necropolis
Lineage: Bacteria; Bacillati; Bacillota; Bacilli; Caryophanales; Bacillaceae
Description: SR1 sRNA
Rfam family: SR1 sRNA
Source: Rfam by way of RNAcentral
UACGAAAUCAUAAUAAUUUUGAAGGAGUUGGGCUGAAUGGGAACUAUCAUUUGUCAAGACUGUCAACAAAUUAUUGAACAAUUUGAUGAUGAAAAAGUAACAACCCUUUAUGGCGCUUGUCCGACUUGUAAAUAAAUAGUAAAAAAGGAGUUGCAUAAUAUAAAAUGCAACUCCUUUUUUA